This 1332-nucleotide long non-coding RNA is filed under the name Sus scrofa (pig). RNAcentral describes it as "lncRNA (ENSSSCG00060030999.1)". The record is from RNAcentral. Lineage: Eukaryota; Metazoa; Chordata; Mammalia; Artiodactyla; Suidae.
GAAAGGAAUGGUUCAAGGAGGCAACAGGGGGCGGCGGGGGGCUUGGGCCCUCAUCGCCCUGGCAAUGCCUCAGGCCCAGCCCUCAUCCCCAGUUCCGUCAGCGCUCUCUCAUGCCUUCAGAGAAACCAGGGCUGGGAUGGGCCACACAGCAAACCACCCCUCCCCCACUUCCCAUGCAGCUACUUGGCCCCCAGACCUUGUCCUCCCAUCAUUCUCCUCAUACUCCUUUUCGGUGACCCCCUCAUGUAGAAAGGGUUUGGCUGCAAUGCGAAGGAUCGCUCUGCAGGAUCUUUGGGGCCCCAUCUCCAGGCGAUUCCUGUGUGGCAGGUGUCUGAGGGGGCUCAGGAGCCUGGAGGUUUGGGAUCAUGAAGAGCCUCGGAUAAUGGGGUUCAGUCCUGCCACCAUGUUCACGGCUGGAAGGAAGUCCUGUAAUUGAAAAGUGAGCCUUACCUCUGAUCUCCUAGGAAGACCUGGGGACUGGAUUUCUUUGUGGGACAGUCCCCCCCCCUCCCCCGUGGUUUCACAAUUCCUAUGUCAUCCUCAGUGAGCACUUUUGGCCUCUCUUUUGGGAGGACCAGGGCGGCGAGAGCUCUCAGCCUCUGCUGUCCCAGCCUGGGAAUGCCUGGGUGGGUGAGGACUCUCCUCUGCCAUUGAACUCAACCUCGGCUGUCAUCUGCCUGGCUGUCAGCACUGACCUGGGCAUCCUGCCUCUUGGUCCAGCCAGGUCCCUCACAGAGAGGGUCCACACAGAUACCAGUCAUGCACCCUCCUGGGGGCAGAGCCUUUGGAAGUCACCAUUGUAAGUUCCACCCUGUUCUCCAAAAUUUUGUAGAAGGGUUUGUCCUAAGUUUCUACAGUGGCUCCCUUGCCCCUUCCAGCCCCAGCUUCUCAAUUGCUGAAGUCUUGGCAAAUAUUUGGGAACCAUACACACACACACCAAAGAAACGGCUUUCAAUGGCAGUCCUGGGACCUCCCCUGGGUCUAGAACCCCUGGCUGAGGGACCUGUGGUACUGGGCCAAAGUCCUGGGCUUAAGCCAAGAGGACUGGAUUGACUACCACUUCCUGCCUUGGGCAAGUUCUUUCAUUUUCCCCCUGAGCCUCUGUUUCUCCAUAUGUAAAAUGGGGCGAAUGCCAACUUAGUUUAUGUGAGGCCCCCAAGCAGCAGAGGCCAGGAAAUGUCCUCCCUUCCGUCCUCUCCCACCAUGGGGAUCCUAGGUGCUGUUUAGGUGGGCUCCAAGGGAGAGCUGUUCCUGAUCUGUCACCAUCCUUCCUGGCUGAUUCUCUGGCUUCCUGUCAAUAAAAAUAGCAACUGCUUGUGGGGAGUCUGGGAU